This 2918-nucleotide long non-coding RNA is filed under the name Triticum aestivum (bread wheat). Its description in RNAcentral is "long non-coding RNA (TAES_LNC003226)". The record is from RNAcentral. Lineage: Eukaryota; Viridiplantae; Streptophyta; Magnoliopsida; Poales; Poaceae.
GAAAAAAAUGUGAGCAAUUAUGAUUCCUGAUCUCACUGAGUUCGUGCAAGCUGUACAGAGAAACUCCACAUAAAACUUGUAGUCGAGUAGUUGUAGUGCAACCUUCAUUGUUUGGCCGACGGCUAUAAUAUUAUUAUGAAAGACAAUGAUCACCCUACAAAAUUAUCUUUCCUGAUUAUUUGUCACAGUACUAUAGCUAAUCAUCCUAAAAGUUCUUUUCAAAAUUCAGGUUGACUCUCAAACAUCCACAAUGAAAACUCAGGUUGACAUUGAAACUUGUACUCAAUUUUCUUGCUUACAGCAGCAAGCAUCAGGGGCAUCAUGAGAUUCAAUAAGAACAGCUUUGGCUUCGACCUAUUUGAUCAAACAGAGUAAAUCAUGUCACUACCAGGAUCAGACUUCAUGAGUUUAUAAUGGCAUCCCACACUGUACUUUUCUGAAUCAUGUGUAUGCAAGGAAUCUCUUAAAUGCUCUCCCUCCGAUCCAAAAUAAGUGUCGUGGUUUUUGAACUAAAACAACGACACUUAAUUUUGAUCGGAAGGAGUAUAAUACACAGGUCCAGAAUAGGCUGAUGCCACAUUACUCACCCUCACUGCACACUGGACACCGGCUCAUGUCUGAGUUAUCCCAUGAUCUCAUAGGUAUGCAACAGUCUAGGCAGAAAAUAUAGUUUGAAUUGGAUGUCAGGGUGAUGUAAAAAAUGCAGACCGUUUUUGUAUGUCUACAAAAAUAUGUUCAAUUCAUUUUUUUACUGAAACCUUGACUGAGCAAAGUGAAACAACAUCAUAUAAUGUGGUAGCCAAAUCUACACAAGAUGUAGCCUGCAGAUAUGGUACCAUGAACUGCACAAACAAAACAGACUGAACGGUUCAAAAAUUGCAUCAAAACUGUUUCACAAUUAACAUAUUCAGCAAAGGCUAAACAUCCUUGACUUACAAACCAAAAAAUGGAACAAAAAUGCUGUGUUGCCUACACCUUUAUCAACUAAACUGCUUACUCAUUUGUUCACCACAUAGAAGCAGGUAAUAAUCUCCUACAAGAGUACACCUUUAUCAACUAUCUCCUACUCAUACAUCAAGCUUUCAAAGUAUAUCUAAUUUUCAGGUCUGGACAGAUUCAACCAACUGAGAGCAUAUCACCCUUUUUGGUUCAAAUUAAAUGGCCCAAUCUUCCAUCACAUUUACAUCGGGCUUAGAGUUUAGAACAGACUUACAGUUGGAUAAUGCAAUACAACGAUACCUGUAGAAUAAUAGUGCAAUACCUGUAGUUAAAUCCAUCAGUUUUGGCACAUUCGUAGAAACACGUUUCUCUGCUGCUCUGCAAUCAUUUGUUAACACACAUUUUGUCAGUAUGAGCAACCAACAUCAGCUAAAAGGAACCAUACAAAUGAAGGUACCACAACUCUCUAAUGUAAACAGUUCAUAGCAGAAUACGCACAGCGCCAUGAGCAGAUGUUGAAAGCGCAAGAUCUUAUACAGAAGGUUUUAACCGUGUAAUGUUGAAAAGAAUAAGAUAUUAACAGUAUGUUGUAGAAAGAACAAUAUGCCGCAGAAUAAUGCCGUAAACUUAAAUACUAAACUUUUAAAAAAAUCAUUAGAAAGAACAGCACGCCGUAGAAAAAUAAUGCAAUACAUAUAAACAACCUAGCCACUCCAACUUAAAAAGAAUCAAGUUCCAACUGCACAACUCAUAUGACCAUUACAGAACCACUUUUCAGUACCACCAUUCUGGCCUUACCGUUACAUGGCAACCAAACUAAUCCUCAUUUAUUUUAGAAGAAACCAACUAUUCUACUGAUCCUUCGUAGGCACAACUCAAUUAACCGGUUGAUUAGCCAAGCAUUUUGUGCCUGAUGCAAUCUUCAAGUAUAUACUGUAACCAACUUAUUUGUUGAUACUAAGAGAUGUAAAAAGAAGCUAGAGUAGCCAAGGUUUAGAUGUUGUACUAGUCAGCAAAUCUGCACUGCUCUGCUUGGAAGAGCGUCAGAUGGAUCCAGCCAUCAUUGGCCAGAGACGCGCCAAAGUAGAACCUUACACAUUACAACCCUUUUUCAUCUCCUCUCACCUCCUCGGAUAUCAAAAAUAUUGCGUAUUUAAAUUUCUUCUUUAGCAAUGUAAAGCAUAAGGAAAGCUCGAUGAGAAUUUAAUAACUUCCCAGAAAUAAAUAAGUGACAACUAAACGAGGCACAUAGCCAAGGCAAAGACUUCAUGAUUUGUAUGCCUUCUUUUCACUAACGGUGAUGCUUACUUUAGUGUAGCCCGAGUGAAAAAGAAAAUAAACUUGUGCCUUAUCGAUCAAAAUGUCACUACCUAGACUAAUGGUCCAAACAAAAUCACCUCUAUGGACAAAAGAACCAAUGGAUAAUUGGCUGUAAUGUGUAUGAUGAAUCAUGCAUAUCUGGCUCUAUAUUAGCAUGUCAGGGAAAAAAUCAAGAGAUUAAGCCAAUAUAUCAGGGGACAAGAUGCAUCUUUCACAUCUCAGAUAAAAAACAUCACCAGUAAAAUGUUUGUCGUUGGUUCAGUUUUCCUGACUUACCCAAGUGCUUGUAUAGUUGAAAAAUAUAUCAUACCUGAAUACAAUGAAACAGCAAGAAGCAAACAGUAAGAAACUUGAAAUGGUGUAGCAAGUACUACAGCAAACCGAAUAGGAACAGACCAAAUAUAAACAAAGUGCCAUGCCCUUUUCCUUAUGGUGGUGUUCCUUAGUGUAACAUACAAACCAACCACGUCACCUAUUUUUGUGCUACAUAUAGACUGAAACCAAGCAAGAUAAUGUAACCUGACAAGAAGUAUAGUAUAGCCGAUUUAGAAAUUGAGAACUGGCCAUUCCAAACAAAAACAACAUUGCUGAUGCUGCAAAAAUGGAUAAUCCAGCUCCAAAUAGUGAUGCCUCCAUCAAUCAAAUCCCUAGGAACUUUC